RNAcentral lists this ribosomal RNA (497 nucleotides) under uncultured bacterium. RNAcentral describes it as "partial 16S ribosomal RNA". It matches the Rfam family "Bacterial small subunit ribosomal RNA", at positions 28 to 507 of the family's 1533-position model. The record is from RNAcentral.
GAUGAACGCUGGCGGCGUGCCUAAUACAUGCAAGUCGAGCGAACGGACGAGAAGCUUGCUUCUCUGAUGUUAGCGGCGGACGGGUGAGUAACACGUGGAUAACCUACCUAUAAGACUGGGAUAACUUCGGGAAACCGGAGCUAAUACCGGAUAAUAUUUUGAACCGCAUGGUUCAAAAGUGAAAGACGGUCUUGCUGUCACUUAUAGAUGGAUCCGCGCUGCAUUAGCUAGUUGGUAAGGUAACGGCUUACCAAGGCAACGAUGCAUAGCCGACCUGAGAGGGUGAUCGGCCACACUGGAACUGAGAAACGGUCCAGACUCCUACGGGAGGCAGCAGUAGGGAAUCUUCCGCAAUGGGCGAAAGCCUGACGGAGCAACGCCGCGUGAGUGAUGAAGGUCUUCGGAUCGUAAAACUCUGUUAUUAGGGAAGAACAUAUGUGUAAGUAACUGUGCACAUCUUGACGGUACCUAAUCAGAAAGCCACGGCUAACUACGUG